Long non-coding RNA from Harpia harpyja (harpy eagle), 1328 nucleotides. RefSeq lists it as uncharacterized. The record is from RefSeq and is a predicted model, not a curated record. The transcript has 2 exons. NCBI's taxonomy places the organism in Eukaryota, Metazoa, Chordata, Aves, Accipitriformes, Accipitridae.
AUUUCUGAAUUCCCUCCUGUGACAGCAGGAAGUGGUUGUUCGGGAGUCCUUCCCCUCCUUUAAUUCUUAGACUUCCCUCGAAGUCUUGAAUCUAAAAGAAAAUAGAUUAUUUUUUCUUCUUUUACUGUUUUACUCCCUAUUUUAAUGCCUUCCCAGAGUUCACGAUUCUGACAGUUCCCAUACCAAGUCCUCAUCAUUGCAGAGCUUUAAGCUCUUUCUUUAAGUUCCUGUUUAUAUAACCAUGAUGCAAAAUCGCAGUUCUGAUAUAUCGGAUGCCUACUUAAAAGUCUUGCAACCUUAAUUAGAUGUUUGCUAAUCUGCAGUCAGAGUUUACCACUGUGUUUCAAUUGAGCAGUCUUUAUAUGCACAUCCUGUACCACAGACCAGAGGGCUCUUUUGAAGGUUUCUGGUAUGGAUUCUGCAUUUGCUUUUAGGUGACUGAUAUCCUGCUCAGAGACGGUUAAUACGAUGAAAGAGAGAUUAUUGCAUCAAUUGCAGUGUAUAGUUAACAGUGUAAACUUAUUGUCUGCUUUAAUCUGGACUUAGCCAGUUCUGUUGAGAUGCUGAUCUGUUUGAAAAAACUGGGGAUGUCAGCUCAGAUUGGCUUGUGGCUACAUGAGCAAUGCCCAUGGCUUGUCCUCUGUGUAAGAUAUGCAAGGAUAGGAGGUGAGCAAGAAAGUUUGUAUCCUUCCUUCCCCACUACAGUUCCCCACCAGGUAACAACCAAAUGAUUCCUAAAUUACAGGUUGAAUCCACAUUACCAUAUUUAAUAGCUAUCAGUAUACCAAUCCACCGCAAAGUUGUCUAAAAUCCUUUUGAAGCCUCUUCAUUCUUUCAGUCUCCAUGACAUCCUCUGUCAGCAUGUACAGCAGUGUGUGCACUGUAUGGAUUUGUACUUCAGAUCCUCUAAACCUGCUCCUGGAUAAUUUCAUCGGGUUUCAGGUUUGCUCUUUCUGGGAUUUCCAUCAGCAUGUUCUACCGAAACAUUCUCAUGUUUAUUUUACAAGACUUACUGAUCCCUCUUCAGUUCCAACUUCCCUACUUCCACAUUUAUUGAAUUUUUGAAGUUGGAAUAAACCGUUUCUCUGCAGUCACAGUCUGCAUUUAUUGUUUCAGUUGGUUUUGGAGUACAUGAAAUUGAAGAGUUUCAUAAGAUGUGAGAGGCAACUUCUCAAGGGCUGGAGGUGUCAGUAGCACUGGACUUGGGGCUGGCGCAUGCCCUUGGAGGGUCCCAAACAGCCUGGUUUCUUUAUCUUUGUGUCUUGCACAUUGCUGAGCAGAUUGUAAGCGCUAAAUAAAUGGUAAUCUCUGGAGUCCUGCUGAAGUAA